AUUAUUAAUUUGGCUCUGCGGGGGUCUUAGUUGCUGGAUGUGGGAACUUUUAAUUGAGGCAUGUGGAAUCUUGGUUCCCUAGCCAGGGAUUGAAUCCAUGCUCCUUGCAGUGAACGUAUGGAUCUCAACCUCUGGACCAGGGAAUUCGCUAGGUAGUUCUAAUUGUUGUGGCUCACAGCGCAAGUAGCAGUGAAACCUGCAAGUUGCUGUGAACCCUGUGAUGUCAUGAAAUCUGUACUGACAUCAGAAUGAGAUGUGACACUGUGGAAACUAUCAACAAGGCCUGUGCUUCUAGGACAAGGAUUAAAUGAGAGAAUGUCUUGGAAGCACCUCGCGUAGUACCUGGUUUACAGUCCCUGACUAUGGAUUGAACCCAGCCCUGGCAGUGAAGGCACGGAGUCCUAGCCACUGAAGCGCCAGAGAAUUCGGAUCAUGUAUUUCUUGAAGUCAGUUUUUGUGACAUGAACUUGAUGCCCUAGGCCUCUCCCGGCACAAGUCCUCAAAUCUGAUCCUUUCUACGACAGUGUCCUGCCUGUGUGCUCCUGUAACCCCUACCCUGGCACUGUGACCACACAGACAAGACUUGGGUGCAUCUCCUGGGGGUUCUGGCAGGGCAAGGUCUGUGUCUACUAGAUACGGGUUCUGGCAAGCUGAAUCAGUUCUCUUUGAUGGUUGUUUCCCUUUCAGUGACUGUGGCCUUGGAACAUGGCUUCUGAGGACUGUUUCCCCAUUAAUUAGAGCUCGCCUGGGCCAGCCCUCUGGGCUCAAUGCUGUUCCAGGCUCCUGGGAGCACAAGGGCUUGUGCCAUCUCUCUAGAGGCCAGAUCUCUUAAAACAUGGACCAGUUUUUUCUUUAUUCCCAUUAGGAGAUUUCGCCAUUUAGAAAACUAUGCUAAAAUACACGUAACAUACAAUCUACCAUUUUGACCCUUUGUAUUAAAUAAAUGUCAGUUCAAUGGUUUUAGCACACUCA
This is a long non-coding RNA of Bubalus bubalis (water buffalo), 972 nucleotides long. RefSeq lists it as uncharacterized. The transcript is spliced from 3 exons. NCBI's taxonomy places the organism in Eukaryota, Metazoa, Chordata, Mammalia, Artiodactyla, Bovidae. The record is from RefSeq and is a predicted model, not a curated record.